UCACAAUGAUGAUGAAUGGUCCAAACAUUCGCGGUUUCCACCAGAACGCAAGGCAGUGUUGGCAGUUACCUUCCUUGGAUGUCUGAGUGAC
Molecule: small RNA, 91 nt
Filed under: Mus musculus (house mouse)
Lineage: Eukaryota; Metazoa; Chordata; Mammalia; Rodentia; Muridae
Description: small nucleolar RNA, C/D box 14E (Snord14e)
Rfam family: Small nucleolar RNA SNORD14
About the family: U14 small nucleolar RNA (U14 snoRNA) is required for early cleavages of eukaryotic precursor rRNAs.
Source: RNAcentral